GGAUUAGAUACCCUGGUAGUCCACGCCGUAAACGAUGUCUACUAGCCGUUGGAGGUCUUGUAUCUUUGGUGGCGCAGCUAACGCAAUAAGUAGACCGCCUGGGGAGUACGGUCGCAAGAUUAAAACUCAAAUGAAUUGACGGGGGCCCGCACAAGCGGUGGAGCAUGUGGUUUAAUUCGAAGCAACGCGAAGAACCUUACCUACUCUUGACAUCCAGAGAACUUUCCAGAGAUGGAUUGGUGCCUUCGGGAACUCUGAGACAGGUGCUGCAUGGCUGUCGUCAGCUCGUGCCG
This 293-nucleotide ribosomal RNA is filed under the name uncultured bacterium. RNAcentral's name for it is "partial 16S ribosomal RNA". It matches the Rfam family "Bacterial small subunit ribosomal RNA", at positions 775 to 1067 of the family's 1533-position model. The record is from RNAcentral.